This 218-nucleotide long non-coding RNA is filed under the name Capsella rubella. RNAcentral's name for it is "long non-coding RNA (CRUB_LNC002232)". The record is from RNAcentral. Lineage: Eukaryota; Viridiplantae; Streptophyta; Magnoliopsida; Brassicales; Brassicaceae.
GGGGCAUGUUCUUGGUUUUCCUUGGAGCCACUACCCUUCUAGGCUCCAUAUCCACCAUCGGUUCAUCAACAUCCUCUUCUGCAGGUCUUUUCCCCAUCGAAACUUCUUCUUUGGAAAUCGGGUGGGUCUGACCCGAUCGACUGGCCCGAUCGGGUGAUCGGGUUCGUGCUCGGGCUUCUCUUCUUCCGCUUCUGACCCGAUCGAUUCCGGUUCCAGUG